Long non-coding RNA from Strigops habroptila (Kakapo), 507 nucleotides. RefSeq lists it as uncharacterized. The transcript has 2 exons. The record is from RefSeq and is a predicted model, not a curated record. Lineage: Eukaryota; Metazoa; Chordata; Aves; Psittaciformes; Psittacidae.
UGUUAAAGCAGACCCCAGGAAGACUCACAAAAAAUCACAUCAAGUUGCCUGUCAUGAUUUUGUAUUGGGGAGCUGAGAAUGAAAUGGAGCAGGACCUGGAGGACAAAGAAACUUAAGGAACACCUGAAUGCCGUUGAUGGUAUGAAGUGCAAGAGGACAUACAAGCUCUGUUUCUUGUCCCACAGAGGCUUUUUAGCAUGCCAGUCACCAUGAAAUGAGGACAACCUCCAGUACAGGCUGAUGAGUAGUUACUUUUCCUGCUGCUGCUGAAGCCACUGGAAAAAUCUGAUUGAUCCAGGAUGUCACGUCAGAGCCUAAUUCCCCUUUCUGCAAGCACCCAUAUGCUCAUGUUCAGUGCUUACUAAAAGGGCCUGGCAGCCCAGCAAGAUAAUAAAAGAUAAAGCAAACUGUACGACAAUGGAAAAUGCUGAGCUCCCCGAGUAAUUAAAGUUGUGUAAGACGGUGGCAUGUCUUGCAAGGCUUAUUAAUACAGUCACGUUUGCAUUA